GGAUACUGAAAAAAAAUUGUAGCGAAGAUUGAUUUAAAAAUUCGAUUGUGUCUAAAUUUUGGUUAGAAAAGUCACAUCUUCCAAUCGUCUACUUCAUAAUACCUUAAUACAGAUUAACGAUUUAUCACCGGAAAUUUUAAAGCAAGAGAAACACGAUGGUAGUCACUAAUGGAUAAAGAACUGUUGAUCCUUUGUGAACAUAUUAAUCCAACUCUGAUUUUCCAAAAUGCACAAUUUUUCAUUCCUUCCUUGGUAGACUUUUUAAGGUGUCAGAGGUUUGAUAUUUUGAAAUUAAUAAUUAUUAAUAAUGCAAAAUAAAUAUAUUUACUAAGGAAAUGUAUAUAAAAACACAUUGAUGGAUAUGAUUUUGAGUUUAGAAAGACAAACAAAUCCAGCAGGGUUAUGUGGGAAAAUUAAACUCUUAUAAUAUCAUAGUUGAGUCACUUUGGAGAUGAAAAAUUAUCCUUACCACCCAAACCUCCACCUCCCAUUUUGCUCCUGUCAGUUGACAUGAUCACCCCUUUCUAUUAUCACAUUACCUCUCCACAUACUUAUCUGACUGGUGGUUUUAUUUAAUCUAGUCUCGAAAAAAAAACAUGUAAUAUUACAUGUUAACCGAA
Molecule: long non-coding RNA, 620 nt
Filed under: Mytilus galloprovincialis (Mediterranean mussel)
Lineage: Eukaryota; Metazoa; Mollusca; Bivalvia; Mytilida; Mytilidae
Source: RNAcentral